RNAcentral lists this ribosomal RNA (274 nucleotides) under uncultured bacterium. Its description in RNAcentral is "partial 16S ribosomal RNA". It matches the Rfam family "Bacterial small subunit ribosomal RNA", at positions 523 to 796 of the family's 1533-position model. The record is from RNAcentral.
CUACGGAGGGUGCAAGCGUUACUCGGAAUCACUGGGCGUAAAGCGUACGUAGGCGGACUGAUCAGUUGGGGGUGAAAUCCCAGGGCUUAACCCUGGAACUGCCUUCAAUACUGUCAGUCUUGAGUUUGGGAGAGGUGAGUGGAAUUCCUAGUGUAGAGGUGAAAUUCAUAGAUAUUAGGAGGAACACCAGUGGCGAAGGCGGCUCACUGGCCCAUUACUGACGCUGAGGUACGAAAGCGUGGGGAGCAAACAGGAUUAGAAACCCCAGUAGUCC